ACUCAAAGGAAUAGACGGGGGCCCGCACAAGCAGCGGAGCGUGUGGUUUAAUUCGACGCAACGCGCAGAACCUUACCGGGGCUUGACAUGUAUUCGCAACGCCGAGAGAUCGGCGCCUCCGCAAGGACGUUUACACAGGUGCUGCAUGGCUGUCGUCAGCUCGUGUCGUGAGAUGUUGGGUUAAGUCCCGCAACGAGCGCAACCCCCGUGGCUAGUUACUCUGUCUAGCCAGACUGCCGAGAGAAACUCGGAGGAAGGUGGGGAUGACGUCAAGUCAGCACGGCCCUUACGUCCCGGGCUACACACACGCUACAAUGGCUACGACAGAGGGCUGCCAAGGCGCGAGCCGGAGCAAAUCCCACAAACGUAGCCUCAGUUCAGAUUGUAGGCUGCAACUCGCCUACAUGAAGCCGGAGUUGCUAGUAACCGCAGGUCAGCACACUGCGGUGAAUAUGUUCCCGGGCCUUGUACACACCGCCCGU
Molecule: ribosomal RNA, 482 nt
Filed under: uncultured bacterium
Lineage: Bacteria
Description: partial 16S ribosomal RNA
Rfam family: Bacterial small subunit ribosomal RNA
Source: RNAcentral